This 751-nucleotide ribosomal RNA is filed under the name Escherichia coli. Its description in RNAcentral is "partial 23S ribosomal RNA". It matches the Rfam family "Bacterial large subunit ribosomal RNA", at positions 165 to 957 of the family's 2925-position model. Lineage: Bacteria; Pseudomonadati; Pseudomonadota; Gammaproteobacteria; Enterobacterales; Enterobacteriaceae. The record is from RNAcentral.
CAUAGGUUAAUGAGGCGAACCGGGGGAACUGAAACAUCUAAGUACCCCGAGGAAAAGAAAUCAACCGAGAUUCCCCCAGUAGCGGCGAGCGAACGGGGAGGAGCCCAGAGCCUGAAUCAGUGUGUGUGUUAGUGGAAGCGUCUGGAAAGGCGCGCGAUACAGGGUGACAGCCCCGUACACAAAAAUGCACAUAUUGUGAGCUCGAUGAGUAGGGCGGGACACGUGGUAUCCUGUCUGAAUAUGGGGGGACCAUCCUCCAAGGCUAAAUACUCCUGACUGACCGAUAGUGAACCAGUACCGUGAGGGAAAGGCGAAAAGAACCCCGGCGAGGGGAGUGAAAAAGAACCUGAAACCGUGUACGUACAAGCAGUGGGAGCCUCUUAAUGGGGUGACUGCGUACCUUUUGUAUAAUGGGUCAGCGACUUAUAUUCUGUAGCAAGGUUAACCGAAUAGGGGAGCCGAAGGGAAACCGAGUCUUAACUGGGCGUUAAGUUGCAGGGUAUAGACCCGAAACCCGGUGAUCUAGCCAUGGGCAGGUUGAAGGUUGGGUAACACUAACUGGAGGACCGAACCGACUAAUGUUGAAAAAUUAGCGGAUGACUUGUGGCUGGGGGUGAAAGGCCAAUCAAACCGGGAGAUAGCUGGUUCUCCCCGAAAGCUAUUUAGGUAGCGCCUCGUGAAUUCAUCUCCGGGGGUAGAGCACUGUUUCGGCAAGGGGGUCAUCCCGACUUACCAACCCGAUGCAAACUGC